GACGAACGCUGGCGGCGUGCCUAAUACAUGCAAGUCGAACGAGAGCAACCGGUGCUUGCACUGGUCAAUCUAGUGGCGAACGGGUGAGUAACACGUGGGAACCUGCCCAUCAGAGGGGGAUAACAUCCGGAAACGGAUGCUAAAACCGCAUAGGUCUUCGAACCGCAUGGUUUGAAGAGGAAAAGAGGCGCAAGCUUCUGCUGAUGGAUGGACCCGCGGUGCAUUAGCUAGUUGGUGAGGUAACGGCUCACCAAGGCCGUGAUGCAUAGCCGACCUGAGAGGGUGAUCGGCCACAUUGGGACUGAGACACGGCCCAAACUCCUACGGGAGGCAGCAGUAGGGAAUCUUCCGCAAUGGACGCAAGUCUGACGGAGCAACGCCGCGUGAGUGAAGAAGGUUUUCGGAUCGUAAAACUCUGUUGUUAGAGAAGAACAAGUGCUAGAGUAACUGUUAGCGCCUUGACGGUAUCUAACCAGAAAGCCACGGCUAACUACGUG
This 497-nucleotide ribosomal RNA is filed under the name uncultured bacterium. RNAcentral describes it as "partial 16S ribosomal RNA". It matches the Rfam family "Bacterial small subunit ribosomal RNA", at positions 28 to 507 of the family's 1533-position model. The record is from RNAcentral.